RNA transcript from Olea europaea var. sylvestris, 6512 nucleotides. It is a transcript of the gene named ribosome production factor 2 homolog, with no coding region annotated. NCBI's taxonomy places the organism in Eukaryota, Viridiplantae, Streptophyta, Magnoliopsida, Lamiales, Oleaceae. The record is from RefSeq and is a predicted model, not a curated record. The transcript is spliced from 5 exons.
CUGAUUUGUAAUUAUUUUUCAUUUUCUUCUCCAAAAUUUAGCUAAUCAUGAUGAAGAUAAAGACCACGAAGAAAGGAAGAAUCAAGAGAGACAUAGGAAAACGUGCCCACAAACUCGGGGAGACUGGGAAGAAGACGUUAAUACUACACGGCACAAAAACUAGCAGCGUGUUGAAUUCACUACUUACAGAAGUAUAUCAUCUAUAGAAGGAUAAUGCCGUCAAGUAUUCGCGGAGAAAUGACAAUAUUAGACCGUUCGAGAGUGGCGGUGAAGCUUCUCUGGAAUUUUUUUUCGCUCAAAACAGAUUGCAGUUUGUUUGUGGUAAGCGUGAAACCUGUGCCGACCUAUUUUGCAAGUCUUGUGUGAAAGCAAUUGAAAAUGUGUGUUGGUUCCUAUACAGAAAGGUUUAUUGGGAGGUUAGAUAGUACUAAUAUUCUAUUAUGUUUGGUAAAAAAAUUUCUUUAGGUAAGACUUGCCGCUAACUUAUAGAAGAUACGUGGUCCUCCUCCUGAAUUCAUGUUUAAGAAUGUAUUGCGUGAUUAAAAGUAUUAAAGAUGAAAGAAUAUUUUUUAUUAUUGAUUCUCAAAUGAAAAAUGUAUACAAGUGAUCUACAUAAAUAGCUGUAUGGUGGCUGUAUUGCAGCUGUACUUAUAACUAAUUUUAAGUCUAUACAAUUGGCGCCAAAAUGGAAUGCUGAACACGUGAACUACUGUUCUCUAAUACUCCCCCUCAAGAUGGACUAUGUAGAUUAAGAAUAGCCAUCUUGGACAAGAGAGGGAAGAGAAGAGAUGAAGGCAACGGCUUAGCGAACAUGUCAGCUAGUUGACGUUGAGAGCGAACUGGUAGAAGCUUAAUGAAACCUUCGUUGACUUUAUCCAGAAUGAAGUGACAGUCGAUCUCUUUAUGCUUUGUUCUUCGUGAAAAAUUGGAUUGUUGGCAAUGUGAAUGGCAACUUGAUUAUCACAGUAAAUCAAUGCUGGAAUAGAAGCUGCGACCUGCAAAUCAAGGAGUUGUUGAAUCCAAAUGAUCUCACAUGCCGAUGAGGCCAAAGCACGAUAUUCAGCCUCCGCCGAAGAUCUGGAGAUGAUGGUUUGCUUCUUAGACGUCCAAGAGAUUAGAGAGUUUCCAAGAAAUAUGCAAAAGCCAAUGACUGAUUUUCUCAAGUCAAGACAUGACCCCCAAUCUGCAUCAGCAAAAGCCCGAAUCUGGAACGAGGAAAGUGCAUCAAACAUCAAUCCUUGACCAGGAGCAGAUUUGAUAUAUCGUAAGAGAUGAUGUACAGCAUCUAAGUGGGGUUGUCAAGGCUCUGAGACAAACUGACUUAAUUUGUGGACAGCAAAUGUGCUGUCUGGGAGAGGGAUGGUCAAGUAUAGUAGCCUGCCAACAAGUCGACGAUAAAGGGAUGCAUCAGCAGGUGGCUCUCCUUCAAAGGAGCUGAGCUUUACUUUAGGAUCCAUUGGCAAUGAUGUUGGUUUACAACCCAAAAAACCAGUAUCUUCAAGGAGUUGUAAAGUAUAGUGCCUUUGAGAAAGGAAAAUACCCCUUUGUGAUCUUGCUAUCUCCAAGCCAAGAAAGUACUUCAACUUACCAAGAUCCUUUAAUUUAAAUUGGCUAUGCAAAAAGACUUUUAAGGAAUCAAUUGCCCUAGUAUCUGAUCCGAUGAUGACUAUGUCAUCAACAUAAACCUUGUAGGCAAUGAAAGAAGCACCUGACCCCUUUGUAAACAAAGAGUAGUCUGAUUUAGAAUUCUGAAAACCAGGCAAUAAAAGAGUUUGAGGAAAUUUGGAAAACCAUUGCCUAGAUGCUUGUUUUAGGCUUAAAUUGAUUUAUGAAGUCUACACACUAGUUUCUCCCCCUGAGGACCAACUGAGGUUUGCUUUGGUUGGCCUAGAGUUAAAUCCAUGUAAAUUUCCUCAAACAAAUCACCAUUAAGAAAUGCAUUGUUGACAUCCAACUGCACAAGAUGCCACUUUUUAACAGUAUCAACAGCAAGAAGGGUCUUAACAGUGACCAAUUUUGCAACUGGAGAGAAAGUUUCAAUAAAGUCUAAACCUUCCUGUUGUGUAUACCCUUUCGCAACCAACCGGGCUUUGUACCGGUCUAUACUCCCAUCUGAGUUGAACUUGAUCUUAUAAACCCAUCGAGACCCUAUGGAAUGCUUGUCCUUAGCCAAAGUAGUAAUUGACCAAGUAUGAUUGCUUCCAUGGCUGCCAAUUCAUCAGCCAUGGCAUUCCUCCAUUGUUCAAAUUUCACUGCCUGGUAAUGAAAUUGGGGUUCAAAUGUGGAAGAUAUAUUGAAGAGAAGGGAGUUAUGUGAGGGAGAAAAUGUUUUGUAAGAUAAGUAUUUGCAUAAAGGAUAUAAGGAAGUGUUGGAAAGAGGGGAAGCUUUGGUCAGAAGAUUGCAAUGAAAAUCACGAAGGUAAGAGGGGGCCCUGUGUGUUCUCAUACCUUUUCUAGAAAUAGAUGAAGCCCCUGUUUGAGCCUCAUUUUUACCUCAUUAAAAUGAAAAAUAUGACCGUUAUCCAUCACAUCAAGGCACCAUUUUUGAAUUUCUAUCUCUGGUGUGAGGCCCAUAACGGCUCUAUUUCUCAUUCUCAUUCUCAUUUUCAUUAUAAUGUGGCUCAAACAGGCUCGAAAGGGAUUGAUCUAAGUUGUGAAUGGAGCUAGAAUCAUUGACUGGAGGGAUAUCACCAGAAUUAUUGGUAGUAGGAGGACUUGUGGGAGAAUGUUCCAAAGGCAAUUCUUGAAGCACGUGUGGCAAAACUAUAUGUGGGGAAGUAUCAAUGGGCCAAUACAGGAUGGAAUUGAUUGAAAUGGAAAGAUAUGCUCAUGGAAGACAACAUCCCUAGGAAUGAAAAAUGUUUUGGAAACCAUGUCAUGGAGUUUGGAACCUUUAAUGACUGGGGAAUAACCAACAAAAACGCAUGCCUUAGCUCUUGGAUGGAAUUUUGUUCUAUGAGAGGAUAGAGUGGAGGCAAAACAAAGGCUGCCAAAGGUCCUAAGAUGAUGAUAGUUCACUGGAGAAUUGUAUAGGCAAAUAAAUGGAGUCUUGUUUUGUAAAAUUGGUGAUGGAGUUCGAUUUAUUAGAAAAGUGGCAGUAAGGAUGCAUUCUCCCCAAAAUUGAAUAGGGACUCUAGAUUGGAAAAAUAAUGCACGAGCGACAUUAAGGAGGUGUUGAUGUUUCCUUUCAACCACAGAAUUCUGUUCUGGCCUUUCCACACAUGAAUAUUGAUGAAUUACACCUUUGGAAUUGAAGAAAUCUUUAAAACUGAGCUCCUUAGCAUUAUUAGAUCUAAAGCACUUUAUUACUUUGUUAAAUUGAGUCUCUAUGAGGGAGAAGAAUUUGGGAAUGAUAAAGGCAACAUCAGAUUUUUGCUUCAUCAAAUACACCCAAGUAAAUCUUGUGCAGUUAUCAACCAAAAUCAAAAAGUACUUGUAACCAGCCUGUGUAGCAACAUUGUAGAGUCCCCAAACAUCGCAAUGAAUGAGAUCAAAAGCAGCAGGAGAUAAAUGAUUGUUAGAAACAAAUGAAAGUCUUCGUUGCUAAGUCAAAGGACAUACAAGACAAGGAACAUAAAGGUCUUUCUUCCUCACAUCAAAUUUCAACAAAUUUCUCAACAUGUCUAACUUCUUAAAAGACAAAUGUCCAAGUCUACAAUGCCAAACAUGACUAGGUACAUUAUUUGCUACAAAUGAACAGAAUUACAAGAAUUUUCAAAGCUAAUAGUAUUAUUUUCCAUCGAGUUAAGGCAACUAGCAUCAAUGAUGUAUAGAUCUUCAGCCCUUUUACCCUUGCCAAUCAUCCUCAUUGUUGGCAAAACCUGAAUAACACACAUAUCAGUAAGAAACCUGAUACCAUAUUAAAGAUGAAAGAAUAUUUUAUAUUAUUGAUUCUCAAACGAAAAAUGGAUACAAGUAAUCUAUAUAAAUAGCUGUAUGGCAGCUGUAUUACAGCUGUAAUUGUAACUAAUUUUAAGUCUAUACAAUUGGCGCCAAAAUGCAAUGCUGAACACGUGAACUGCUGUGCUCUAAUAAAAAGGGUUGAUUUUGGUUACUGUUUGUAAACUCGAGAUAAUUUCUCAUUUUGAUUGAGUUGGUCAAGAUUUGUCCUUGCUGCAGUCAGCUCAGUUUUAGAGCUUAAAAAUGUGCCAGAUUAUUACCUUCAGUUGAUUUUAUUGUGAUGACAUUUCAUAUCAGACGGCUAUAUCAAGUCCCAGAAAUCAAUGUUCUUCUCAGUUCUGAAGAACUUAAUUUGCUUAGGAAGACAAUAGAAUUCCUUCGUUUGCUGGCAGCCAACUAUGUAGUGGGUAGUUGGUAGGUAAAAUCUCCGUUAGUUACUUAACUUAUAGUUUUGGACCUUUGGUUAGCCCUUGUUCGAGCCCCAGUCUCUAAAAAAUCAUCUUUCUCCCACUAAUUUUAAACCACACAUUCUUCCAAUUUUUUCACUUAAACCCAAAACUUUUAUAUACUUUUUAACCACAUGUUUUCCAAAAAAAUCACUAUUACAAAAUCUAUUUUCCCCAAAAGUGGGGAUCAAACGGGGGCUACGUCAUGAAACUUUUUUGUACUCCAAAUUAGUCAUGAACUUCAUCGUUGUUUCAGUUUAUUUCUGUCCAUCUCGCCUUGGUGGUGUGGCUAAACAAAAAUUUGAUGUGCCAUUGAAAAUCCGGUAACCCAUAUUAUUUUGUCCAGCUUGGCAAGUGAAAAACUUAGGUUAUUGAAUUGCAAGUACAGACCACCAAGUAUAGUAUCUAAUUGUUCUGGACCACCAAGUAUAUUUAUCUGAUGAAUUUUUUGAAGCUUUCGUAUAACAGUGUGAUGAAUGAAACUGUUUAGCAUACCUUGAUUGAUACUACAAAUAAGAAGAACUGUUUGUAGCAUAGGCUGAUAAAUGCUAUAACAGUGUGAUGAAUGGAACUGUUUAGGAUACCUCGAUAGAUACUACUAGUAAGAACUGUUUGUAGCAUAGACCGAUACACGGUUACAUUCUAAUGUGAAGGAAGUUUAAUAACCCAUUAGAUAAGUGACCAAGUAUUUACCUGGUAUACAUAGUGCAUGCUAGUUGGUUAUUGGAUAAUAUUUGGCACCACUUUUUACAAGUUAUAAUUUUCAGAUAUUUCAGAAAACGCUCACGGUCUGAUAUUUAUGUUGAUGCAAGUCAGCUAGAAGAUAGAUAGUCUUGUAAAUGACCUAGAUUUUUAUUCAAGGGAGUGCGCUCCAAUCUGUCCCGUUAUGUUGUUGAUUCUAAAAAAUGUCAUUUUUGUGGCAGGUAGGCAUUCAAAAUUCGGAGCUAGUAGAUGCAUCUAAAUUUGAUGGACAUAUCCAUUUAUUGGACUAUAUUCCUGCCUUUAGUCUUACAUCAUACGUGACGUGACCUCUUCACUUGACAGUUGUCCUGAUCCAGAUAAAUAUGAAUGAAUGAAUGAACGAACGAACAAAUAACACUACCAAAUAUAAAAACGUACAUCUCUUGGGAUAAAAUACUUGUACUGACCAUUAUAUUCCUAGAUUUGCAUCUUAUGUUUAUUUUUUUAUGGUCAUUCCAAUCAUAUAAAAGACAGCAGCUGAGCAAAGUAGAACAGUGAAGGGAAUACAAUCUGUUUUCAACUUUCUUAUUUUAUUAUAACAUGUUUUCCCAGUUUUCUAUUUGCAGUUUGGUUCUCACUCAAAGAAGCAGCCAAACAAUCUUGUUAUUGGACAAACCUAUGAUCACCACAUUUAUGAUCUUGUAGAGAUCGGGAUUGAAAAUUUCAAAAGCUGAACUCUUUCGCAUACGAUAAGAAAUUGGCCCCUCAAAUUGGGUCGAACCCUUUUUUGCUUUCAUAGGAGAAGGUUUUGAGUGUGUUGAUGAGCUGAAACAUAUAAAAGAAAUUUUACUUGACUUGUUCCAUGGAGAGGUUGUGAAAAUUUGAACCUUGCUGGACUGGACCACGUGUAUGUUUGCACAGCCAUAUCCUCAGACCAAAAUAUUCUUUACUCAUUGUGCAAUCUGACUUAAAGUCUGGCACUAUAGUGCCAAGGAUGGCGUUGGUUGAAGUUGGUCUGUCCAUGGAUAUGGUGGUUCGAAGACAUCAUCUUCCCGAUGACAGCCUGAGAAAAGAAGCAAUGAAGAUAGCCCCUGAAUUAACAAAGAAAAAGGAGAAGAAUGUUAUCAAAGAUGCAAUACAAGGGAAAAUUGGGAAGAUUUAUAUUCCAGAUCAAAAGGUUGGAAAUGUGGCACUGCCUAACAAAGCGCAGGGGGUGAAGAGGAAGCUAAAACAAAAGACUGAGGCCUACAGGUCUGUAGAAAAGAGGCAGAGAUAGCAUUUGGAGUGAUUCCUGGGCUUCAUAGCAGUCACAAGUCAUAACAUUUUGAGUGUGACUUCCAUUGCUUUGCUUACGGGUUCGAUCCUUUUUUGGUCAGUUAAAGGUAGGAAAAUGAUCAAAAUGUAUUGUACAGUAAACCAUGUAACGAAUUAUAUAGCCAGCAAAAACCUAUUAUAUUCUCUAAUUUCAAGUUACGUCUAUUGGUUC